RNAcentral lists this ribosomal RNA (120 nucleotides) under Esox lucius (northern pike). Lineage: Eukaryota; Metazoa; Chordata; Actinopteri; Esociformes; Esocidae. The record is from RNAcentral.
GCUUCCGGCCACACCUCCCCUGAGCACGCCCGAUCUCGUCUGAUCUCGGAAGCUAAGCAGGGUCGGGCCCGGUUAGUACUUGGAUGGGAGACCGCCUGGGAAUACCAGGUGCUGUAAGCC